GCCUGGGUGGCUCAGUCAGUUGAGCAUCCGACUUUGGCUCAGGUCAUGAUCUCAUGGUUUGUGGGUUCAAGCCCCACGUCAGGCU
RNAcentral lists this transfer RNA (85 nucleotides) under Felis catus (domestic cat). It matches the Rfam family "tRNA". From Rfam's summary of the family: Transfer RNA (tRNA) molecules are approximately 80 nucleotides in length. Their secondary structure includes four short double-helical elements and three loops (D, anti-codon, and T loops). Further hydrogen bonds mediate the characteristic L-shaped molecular structure. tRNAs have two regions of fundamental functional importance: the anti-codon, which is responsible for specific mRNA codon recognition, and the 3' end, to which the tRNAs corresponding amino acid is attached (by aminoacyl-tRNA synthetases). tRNAs cope with the degeneracy of the genetic code in two manners: having more than one tRNA (with a specific anti-codon) for a particular amino acid; and 'wobble' base-pairing, i.e. permitting non-standard base-pairing at the 3rd anti-codon position. The record is from Rfam by way of RNAcentral. Lineage: Eukaryota; Metazoa; Chordata; Mammalia; Carnivora; Felidae.